This 396-nucleotide RNase P RNA is filed under the name Saprospiraceae bacterium. RNAcentral describes it as "RNase P RNA component class A". It matches the Rfam family "Bacterial RNase P class A". Rfam says of the family: Ribonuclease P (RNase P) is a ubiquitous endoribonuclease, found in archaea, bacteria and eukarya as well as chloroplasts and mitochondria. Its best characterised activity is the generation of mature 5'-ends of tRNAs by cleaving the 5'-leader elements of precursor-tRNAs. The record is from RNAcentral. Lineage: Bacteria; Pseudomonadati; Bacteroidota; Saprospiria; Saprospirales; Saprospiraceae.
GCCGCAGGCUACCCUAUCGCGGUUCUCCGCAAGGAGGAAUGAGGAAAGUCCGGACAACGCAGAGCGCCACACCAUCUAACGGAUGGGGUUCCGGCCUUGGCCGGGAUACAGCGAGUGUCACAGAAAAUUACCGCCCCGGCUCUGUCGGGGUAAGGGUGAAAACGUGCGGUAAGAGCGCACGACGCUUCCGGGUAACCGGGAGGGUGGACAAACCUUGUGGGUUGAAAUGCCAUGUACAUCCGGGUCGGCUGCCUGUGGGCGGCCGGUGGAGUUGCUCGCUCCACGACUUCUUCGGAAGGAGCCCGGAGGGGUAGGCAGAUAGACCCCGUGCCGUGAGGCCGGGGCUAGAUAAAUGAUAGGGCUCGACAGAAUCCGGCUUACAGGCCUGCGGCGAGC